CACGUAGGGGGCAAGCGUUGUCCGGAAUUAUUGGGCGUAAAGAGCUCGUAGGCGGCUCGGUAAGUCAGGUGUCAAAUCCUCAGGCUCAACCUGGGGCUCCACCUGAUACUGCUGUGGCUAGAGUCCGGAAGAGGCAAGUGGAAUUCCCGGUGUAGCGGUGAAAUGCGCAGAUAUCGGGAGGAACACCAAUGGCGAAGGCAGCUCUCUGGGACGGUACUGACGCUGAGACGCGAAAGCGUGGGGAGCGAACAGG
Molecule: ribosomal RNA, 253 nt
Filed under: uncultured bacterium
Lineage: Bacteria
Description: partial 16S ribosomal RNA
Rfam family: Bacterial small subunit ribosomal RNA
Source: RNAcentral